This 389-nucleotide ribosomal RNA is filed under the name uncultured bacterium. RNAcentral describes it as "bacterial SSU rRNA". It matches the Rfam family "Bacterial small subunit ribosomal RNA", at positions 28 to 417 of the family's 1533-position model. The record is from RNAcentral.
GACGAACGCUGGCGGCGUGCUUAACACAUGCAAGUCGAGCGGUAAGGCCCUUUCGGGGGUACACGAGCGGCGAACGGGUGAGUAACACGUGGGUGACCUGCCCUCAGCUCUGGGAUAAGCCUGGGAAACUGGGUCUAAUACUGGAUAUGACUCCACGGUGCAUGUCGUGGGGUGGAAAGCCUUGUGCGGCUGAGGAUGGGCCCGCGGCCUAUCAGCUUGUUGGUGGGGUGANGGCCUACCAAGGCGACGACGGGUAGCCGGCCUGAGAGGGCGACCGGCCACACUGGGACUGAGACACGGCCCAGACUCCUACGGGAGGCAGCAGUGGGGAAUCUUGCGCAAAUGGGCGAAAGCCUGACGCAGCGACGCCGCGUGAGGGAUGACGGCCU